RNAcentral lists this long non-coding RNA (523 nucleotides) under Calidris pugnax (ruff). Its description in RNAcentral is "lncRNA (ENSCPUG00000012403.1)". Lineage: Eukaryota; Metazoa; Chordata; Aves; Charadriiformes; Scolopacidae. The record is from RNAcentral.
AAUCACAUCCCAUGACUGCUCCACAGCAAAGAAGUAGCAGCCCCUGUGUAUUUAUUUCAGUCUACUGAUAUAUUGUGCCGCUUACAGAAAUCAAGAAACAUGUGCUGCAUUUGUACCAGGAUACCAGUCUGUCAAGCCCGUCUGUAUUUACUAAAUCUAAGAAACCCCUGAACUUAAGAACUUGUAUGUUCUGAUCACGGUGACCAUGGCUGUUGGCAGAAACAAGCUACCCUCAGGCAGUGAGACUUUAUACCUUUUUUUCCCUGGGAUGUGAGCUGUUGCAGUCUUCAGUGUAGGGACAUGCGCACGAGCAGUUGCCAUCAGGUGAAAUUGGCCAGUUUGCUGUGCUUCUAACACCAGUGACUCAAGACUUGCUUUUCUGAGAGAUGUUGACAGUUGUCCUUCUGUUUUGCCAGUGAAGACCUGUUCUCCACAUAAAACCUUGCCUGAUAAGAACCCUGUAUCUCCGCUUAGAACAUGUGGGUUACUCCUCUCCCUAGUGAAACCCAUAGCAAACGCGCCA